UAUCAGAAGUGCGAAUGCUGACAUAAGUAACGAUAAAGCGGGUGAAAAGCCCGCUCGCCGGAAGACCAAGGGUUCCUGUCCAACGUUAAUCGGGGCAGGGUGAGUCGACCCCUAAGGCGAGGCCGAAAGGCGUAGUCGAUGGGAAACGGGUUAAUAUUCCCGUACUUGGUGUUACUGCGAAGGGGGGACGGAGAAGGCUAUGUUGGCCGGGCGACGGUUGUCCCGGUUUAAGCGUGUAGGUGUGUGUUCCAGGUAAAUCCGGUUCACUUUAACACUGAGGCGUGAUGACGAGGCACCACGGUGCUGAAGCAACAAAUGCCCUGCUUCCAGGAAAAGCCUCUAAGCAUCAGGUAACAUCAAAUCGUACCCCAAACCGACACAGGUGGUCAGGUAGAGAAUACCAAGGCGCUUGAGAGAACUCGGGUGAAGGAACUAGGCAAAAUGGUGCCGUAACUUCGGGAGAAGGCACGCUGACACGUAGGUGAAGUGAUUUACUCAUGGAGCUGAAGUCAGUCGAAGAUACCAGCUGGCUGCAACUGUUUAUUAAAAACACAGCACUGUGCAAACACGAAAGUGGACGUAUACGGUGUGACGCCUGCCCGGUGCCGGAAGGUUAAUUGAUGGGGUCAGCGCAAGCGAAGCUCCUGAUCGAAGCCCCGGUAAACGGCGGCCGUAACUAUAACGGUCCUAAGGUAGCGAAAUUCCUUGUCGGGUAAGUUCCGACCUGCACGAAUGGCGUAAUGAUGGCCAGGCUGUCUCCACCCGAGACUCAGUGAAAUUGAACUCGCUGUGAAGAUGCAGUGUACCCGCGGCAAGACGGAAAGACCCCGUGAACCUUUACUAUAGCUUGACACUGAACAUUGAGCCUUGAUGUGUAGGAUAGGUGGGAGGCUUUGAAGCGUGGACGCCAGUCUGCGUGGAGCCGACCUUGAAAUACCACCCUUUAAUGUUUGAUGUUCUAACGUGGACCCGUAAUCCGGGUUGCGGACAGUGUCUGGUGGGUAGUUUGACUGGGGCGGUCUCCUCCUAAAGAGUAACGGAGGAGCACGAAGGUUGGCUAAUCCUGGUCGGACAUCAGGAGGUUAGUGCAAUGGCAUAAGCCAGCUUGACUGCGAGCGUGACGGCGCGAGCAGGUGCGAAAGCAGGUCAUAGUGAUCCGGUGGUUCUGAAUGGAAGGGCCAUCGCUCAACGGAUAAAAGGUACUCCGGGGAUAACAGGCUGAUACCGCCCAAGAGUUCAUAUCGACGGCGGUGUUUGGCACCUCGAUGUCGGCUCAUCACAUCCUGGGGCUGAAGUAGGUCCCAAGGGUAUGGCUGUUCGCCAUUUAAAGUGGUACGCGAGCUGGGUUUAGAACGUCGUGAGACAGUUCGGUCCCUAUCUGCCGUGGGCGCUGGAAGACUGAGGGGGGCUGCUCCUAGUACGAGAGGACCGGAGUGGACGCAUCACUGGUGUUCGGGUUGUCAUGCCAAUGGCACUGCCCGGUAGCUAAAUGCGGAAAAGAUAAGUGCUGAAAGCAUCUAAGCACGAAACUUGCCCCGAGAUGAGUCUUCCCUGAGACCUUGAGUCUCCUGAAGGAACGUUAAAGACGAUGACGUUGAUAGGCCGGGUGUGUAAGCGCAGCGAUGCGUUGAGCUAAC
Molecule: ribosomal RNA, 1637 nt
Filed under: Salmonella enterica
Lineage: Bacteria; Pseudomonadati; Pseudomonadota; Gammaproteobacteria; Enterobacterales; Enterobacteriaceae
Also listed under: 1 other name
Description: partial 23S ribosomal RNA
Rfam family: Bacterial large subunit ribosomal RNA
Source: RNAcentral